CCCUUAGAUGUUCUGGGCCGCACGCGCGCUACACUGAUGCAUUCAACGAGUUUCUUCCUGGUCCGAGAGGAAUGGGUAACCUUUUGAAAAUGCAUCGUGAUAGGGAUAGACUAUUGCAAUUAUUGGUCUUCAACGAGGAAUUCCUAGUAGACGUAGUUCAUCAGACUGCAUCGAUUACGUCCCUGCCCUUUGUACACACCGCCCGUCGCUCCUACCGAUUGAAUGCUCAGGUGAGCCAUUCGGACUUUCAUCAUGCUGGUUUCCAGUUUUGAUGAAGGAAAGUCUUGCGAACCUUAUCAUUUAGAGGAAGGAGAAGUCGUAACAA
This 325-nucleotide ribosomal RNA is filed under the name uncultured eukaryote. Its description in RNAcentral is "partial 18S ribosomal RNA". It matches the Rfam family "Eukaryotic small subunit ribosomal RNA", at positions 1470 to 1797 of the family's 1831-position model. The record is from RNAcentral.